Molecule: ribosomal RNA, 517 nt
Filed under: uncultured bacterium
Lineage: Bacteria
Description: partial 16S ribosomal RNA
Rfam family: Bacterial small subunit ribosomal RNA
Source: RNAcentral
GACGAACUCUGGCGGCGUGCCUAAUACAUGCAAGUCGAGCGGACCGGAUUGGGGCUUGCCUUGAUUCGGUCAGCGGCGGACGGGUGAGUAACACGUGGGCAACCUGCCCGCAAGACCGGGAUAACUCCGGGAAACCGGAGCUAAUACCGGAUAACACCGAGGACCGCAUGGUCUUCGGUUGAAAGGCGGCCUUUGGGCUGUCACUUGCGGAUGGGCCCGCGGCGCAUUAGCUAGUUGGUGAGGUAACGGCUCACCAAGGCGACGAUGCGUAGCCGGCCUGAGAGGGGGACCGGCCACACUGGGACUGAGACACGGCCCAGACUCCUACGGGAGGCAGCAGUAGGGAAUCUUCCGCAAUGGGCGAAAGCCUGACGGAGCGACGCCGCGUGAGCGAAGAAGGCCUUCGGGUCGUAAAGCUCUGUUGUGAGGGACGAAGGAGCGCCGCUCGAAGAGGGCGGCGCGGUGACGGUACCUCACGAGAAAGCCCCGGCUAACUACGUGCCAGCCGCCGCAGUAA